RNAcentral lists this long non-coding RNA (1660 nucleotides) under Rhinopithecus bieti (black snub-nosed monkey). RNAcentral's name for it is "lncRNA (ENSRBIG00000046192.1)". The record is from RNAcentral. Lineage: Eukaryota; Metazoa; Chordata; Mammalia; Primates; Cercopithecidae.
CUUGCAGUGAGCCGCGAUUGCGCCACUGCCACUCCAGCCUGGGCGAUAGAGCGAGACUUCCUACUCAAAAAUAAAAAAAAAAAAAAAAAGAAUCCUGCUCCAAAUUGAAACAGUAACACGCAUCCAUGAGCUAGGACAGGGAAGAGAAUGACAAGGACUCUAAACCACCUGGCAGUGAAAUUUCCAAUGGAAAGGAGACCCGCUGGACCCCUUGGUGCUGGGGGUGGAGUCAGAGAGGGCAGCACUCCUGGAGACUCAGAUCGGUUUUCAGGUUGUUGCCCCAGCACCAAGCCGAGAAGUGAGCAAGGAGGAUUUGAAGCAUCAAGUCCACACCGAGGUGUGCUCAGUGGGAAAUCCCUCAGCCCUGACCAGCCAGCAAUUCCAAGACCCAGGGGUGAAGGGAGGUGCAGAUGCUGCUGUCUCUUGGAGCCUGCACCUCGGCAGAGGCUGAUUCCAGCUUGCAGUUCUCCACUACUUGCAGUUUGCAGCAGGAGACAGAUGGUCCUCUUGACAGUUGGAACCAUUGGGCCUCUUUCCAAAAGUGUGGGCUGUGUUUAGAGAAACUAACAAGGAGAGGAAUCACCCUGCGGCUAGCAAUAAUGGUCAUGGAGGACAUUCAGGACUUGAACACUUACAAAAUCACCUUUGAAGUGGAGCCCUGUGUGUGCUGAGACCACUAGGACCCUGGAACAGGUGCCCGUCACACAGAGAGACUGUCAGCUUCAGAGGCUGGAAAUGGAAAUCCCAGGCCUACUUCAGGAGGGGAAAGCACAGACCCUCUGGGAGGCCAAGCUCCGGGGUGACCUUGUACACGGGAAUCUCCUGGAGUGAGGAUGUCCUCUUUUCUGAUACCCAUAGAACUGGCAUUUAAGGGGAUGCUUGUGCAGUAUAGAGAAGGAUGGAGCCUCAGAAAUAGCCCUUUUGGAUCAACCACGUCUCUAGUUUCUAUAAAUGGAAGCUUAACCUUUGCCCUGCAUGUGUAUGCCAGAUCCACCUUGUUCUGGACAACCCUGUGACGUGCCUGAGUCACCCAGCCUUGGCUCUUCCCUGCUCACUGCCUCCUCUCCCUCAGGGAGGAGUCAUCCUCCCAGGAGUGUGCUUUUCAAAUAAAAACCAACCAAUCCAGAGUCCACUCCCAACCACCUUACUAACUGGGCUGUCACACUCCAGGCCACCGUCCUCCUGCCCUAAUCACCACAGGGCCAGGUACCAGACAACCAAGGACAGCACUUGUGCCCCAGAGCCUGUGGAGAUUACCUACUCACCCUGCCUCGCCCAUUCCUUCCUGCAGAAAACACGACUCAGACUCUUGCCCACAGUUUCCCAGCCCCUCUGCUUUGUGACUGAUGCUGGUGCCUCCCCAUGUGGCCCCACCAUGGUGUCAUGGGGGCUCCCUCUCUUGGGACCUGUGGGCAUGAUAAGUUAUGUUUUCAAUAGCAGUCAUCUCCUGAUCUUAGCCUCAUCAUACCUAAAGAAUAAUAAAACCCAUUGAAACACCUUCAACUCAAUGGGACAGACCGGCCCAUUGGAAUCAUUCAGACUUGCAGACAUUUUGUUCAUGCUGUGCGCACUUCUUCCAGGUUCUCUGUUCCGCAGUGGAAAGAGCAGGGCUGAAAUUCACACACCUGACUUCAAAUCCUCCUUCUAUCACUUACUAGCA